CAUUAAUGAGUUUUGAUUGGGGGUUGAUGCUGGCAGUCACUUCUUCUGGCUGCAUGUGCUUGCCCCUAAUAAUCUUUAUCCCAAACACCUGUGCAUGAUUUCGAGGGUUUCCGAGUUGAUUUUGCUGUCGUCUCGGAUCCCCUUGCUUUUCCCACUUUUUAUACACUGCUUGCAAUAUCGAAUGUGCUUUGUGCCGCAAGGCAUUUAACGCAAUAUACAACUUUUAACAACGGAUCUCUUGGCUCUCGCAUCGAUGAAGGACGCAGCGAAAUGCGAUAAGUAAUGUGAAUUGCAGAAUUCAGUGAAUCAUCGAAUCUUUGAACGCACCUUGCGCUCCCUGGUAUUCCGGGGAGCACGCCUGUUCGAGUGUCGUGAAAUUUCUCAAGCUGAGAUGUUUUUCUUAGUCUUGGUGUUGGGCUCUGCCGUGUCUCUUAUUGGGAUGGCUGGCCUUAAAAGCAUUAGCUGACUCUCAUGUGAAUAAAUUGGUUCUACUCGGCGUGAUUAAUGAUUUUGACCGCUGAGGACAUCUUUGGCGAUGGCCAGUUCUCAUUUGAGUUGCUUCUAAUCUUGGUUGUACGGAUUGUUAGUCUGUAUGCCUCGUUUUUCAGAUUUGACCUCGAAUCAGGUGGGACUACCCGCUGAACUUAAGCAUAUCAAUAAGCGG
RNAcentral lists this ribosomal RNA (664 nucleotides) under Clavulina amazonensis. RNAcentral describes it as "eukaryotic LSU rRNA". The stretch from base 219 to 372 matches the Rfam family "5.8S ribosomal RNA". Lineage: Eukaryota; Fungi; Basidiomycota; Agaricomycetes; Cantharellales; Hydnaceae. The record is from RNAcentral.